Long non-coding RNA from Bufo bufo (common toad), 3895 nucleotides. RefSeq lists it as uncharacterized. The record is from RefSeq and is a predicted model, not a curated record. NCBI's taxonomy places the organism in Eukaryota, Metazoa, Chordata, Amphibia, Anura, Bufonidae. The transcript is spliced from 2 exons.
AAUUGAACAUGUCCUAUUCUUGUCCGCAAUAGCGGACAAAAAUAGGCAUUUUCUAUUAUAGUGCCGGCCAUGUGCACAUGGCCGAUGUCAAUGUUUUGCGCAUCCGCAAAACACUUACAGACGUGUGAAUGGACCCUAAAGCAUAUUUAAAAGCAAACAAGAUAAGAGAGAAAACGUUCAUAAAGCAUCUUAAUGCUUAAGUCAUAUAAGGCGGUCUGUAACAGUUUAAUAUACACAAACUAAAAGAACACAUAGAAGUGUCUACUAUUCACAUGCAGCAGAUUUGCUGCAGAAUUUUCUGCAGCUAUCCCAUUAUUCUGAAUGGGGCUUGCAGAAGUCCACAUGCUUUCUAGCAAAUUAAUUCCAUUCUGAAACGAAUUUUCAGUCACAUAAAUUUCAAACAAAUCUGCCCUGUUUGAAUACGGUAUAUGUAACAUUGUCUACAAAAGGGUCAUAGCCCAUUGAAUCCAAUAGCAAUUUGAGCAAGUCAGCUACUUGUAAUAUAAAGCAGGACACCUUGGCAAUAACAGAAAAUAAUACCAAUAUUUUAAUGCUUUUUGCUUGUUAUAAUUUUAUAGGAGUUCUGCACAGCUCAGUAACCUGCAAAUUGAGCAGUGUGUCUUCUACCGUGGUUAUUUUUGCAAUAUGUUAUAUGUUGCAUUCUUGCUUUGCAGGAGAAAUGCCAGUCUAAUGUUCUGUACAAUCCAUUAUAGUUAGCAGAUAAAUAUAUCUGAGGACCAAGCUUCCUGUACCGUACAAAAAAAGUCCAAAAAAAGAGUAAAGCACUUUAUCAUUGAAUGAUCUGGUAUUAUUUGGUCUGUAGACUGUCCUAGUAUAAGAACCCUAGUUAUGAGAUAUAGAGUGGUUGAUCUAUGGAAAUAGGUGAAUGGAUAGGAUUACUCUCAUGUCAGCCAAUAUGAGACACCUGUCACAGAUGGUAAAAAUGAUUACUAGAGAUUGACAAAAAAAUAUGCCAAGUGCUAGUGACUGGUGACUAGUACAUUGGUAGGCAGAAUGCUAGGAGGGGUGUUUAGGGCUAUGGUGCGGUUAGGAGGUUAGUUUCCACCUAAUGGGACCACCGGGACAGCUUAAAGUGUAAUUUUCAUUUUUUAGUUUUUUUUUGUAAUGUAUAGUGGCAGUGAUACUGACCAUUUUUGUAAUAUACUUUAAUUACUGAAAUCAUCCAUUUCUAUUAAAAAAAUAGCUCUGUAGUCCAUUUUGAGCCUUAGUGACGCUCCUCUGUCUUCUAUUUACAUACCACAGUCAGUGUAACGCAAGUCAGAGGACAGAGGAGUGUUGCUGCUAAGGCUCAAAACGGGCCACUUUAGAGCUGUUUAUCUAAUAGAAAUUUACUAUUUCAGUAAUUAAAGUAUAUUACAAAAAUGGUAAGUAUCACUGCCCCUUUACAUUACAAAAAUAAAAAAAGAAUGAGAGUUACACUCUAAAUGCCACAUCCGUCUAUUAGGUUACAUGGUUCACAAACAUCAUCUAUUUCAAAGUCUCUUCAAAAAAAAUUUAAUUGGUGUCUAAACUGUUCCUCCUACCUAGCCCAUAUUACAAAGUUUAGUGAAGGUCUACAAUGGCCAAUAAUUACCAAUCCAUGUAAUGUUUAUGGAUUUACAAUAGAUUGAUGACAUAAGAUCAGCGUCAUUAAUGUGGACUCUAAGUACAUUCCUAUGUUUUUUAACCAUUAUGAAAUAUGUUGGUCAUACACUGGUAAAGAUCACUAUGUCAAUGUCAUCUUUAAACACACAUUCAAAUGUUUCAUUGCUCCAAUGCAUCUACAUCUACAGGGAGUGGGGUAACACAUGACUGCAGGACACGACUACAAAAGGGUUUGUAGUCUGUAGACUCCUAGAUGCGUAGGAGCAAUUCACACCACAUGGUGGGGUAUUUUACACAUGCCACACGUUCCUUGACCAUGGCUCAUAGACUAUUGACAUUACCUUUAAUACCUAAUCUGUGGGAAUAGUCAAUAGCAGGCACUGAUUUUAUUUCUACUGGUACAAGGACUUGCAGAGAAAGCUUAGAUGGUGUCUCCUACAUAUUAAUAUAUAUUAUAGCUGCUCUUUGACCUCGCUAUACGUUUUCUGCACUUGCAUGGCGAUAAUGACGUGCUUGCAAACAUUCCUGCAAUGACUUUAUUGAUUACAUCGCCAAGACUGACAGAAAUGAUGGCAUCUUAUAAUACUUCUUGAGUGGAUCAUUAGCUGCACAUCAUUAUGUGAACAACUAGCAGUGGGAAUGCUAUUAAUGCUAAAAAAAACUAAAAACAAUUAUAUUUUUAUCAUACAACUGGGCAUUAUGUCACCUCCUGCUUUCACCACUGACGAUGGGAGGCAUAUAUAUUUGAUCAGAUCAGUGUGACGUUAUAUUUCAGUCUACUAAAAUGUAUUAAAUUUAUCUUCCAGCUGAUUCAAGCAGCAAAAAAUCUGCAGGUUACACGUGUCUGGCUCCCCAUCUAUCAGUCAUUCCAUAGAUUUCUAGUGUUGCACAUCUCUGAAGUCAUAGGGGGAACAUACAGCGCUUGACAUUUUGAAGCUACGAUUUCUGAGUCAACCUGUUUGCUCAGUAACCAGGGAAGGGAUACACUCAGUGAUCUAUGUUAAUAAAUAAAUACAAUUAGGCGCCAGCAGUAAAAUGUUUGGCGCCCGCACUCCAGGGAGUAGAUCAACCUUGUUUCAACUUUCCCACUGUGGGUCAUUAAAGUCUAUCAUGAGCAGACUCCCUUUAUCAUUUGGACAUAGAUAAACCAUCUCGCACUGUUUUACAAGUUGAUGCAUGUGUCCCUAGGAGGUACUUGGAUAAAACUAGAAGAGGCUAUAAACACUGCAAUGACGUGCGGCAAGUAACUGCGCUGUAAUAGCCAGAGACGAGCAUGUUUCUGCUCUGCAGCAUCACUUCUUGGUUAGAAACCCUGCCAGGUUAUUUCCCAGAUAACAAAAUGUUCUCCUCAAAAUAUCUGUCUCUAUAAGCAUACCUAAAAAGGUCACAGAGAGAAACCAGAAGGAUAUUGAUGAACUUAAAUCACGGCCGUGUUAUGUUUUCUAGUUACUAGGCAGUCGCAGAGAAUCUAAAAGGCACUAUCUUGACUGUGCACAGUGCAGAGCAUAGGGUCUUCCUCCAAAGUACCGUAUCUUCCUUGGCUUUUCUUGUAAUGCUUAUUUCGAAGUCCUAGUUCAAGUAUUACAGUUAGGGCGCAUGCACAUGACUGUAUUGUGGUUGCGGGUUGUACAGAGCUGUAAUGGCACCUAUAGAAUUUUAUAGUGCCAUACUAUAUCUCUGUUCAGGUUUCCUGUGGUGGCAUGCUCCAUCAUAUGGUAUAUUACAGGUGUGUUCUCCACCCCAUACACAUCUCUGCCUAAAAGCAUUGCACCAUAAAAAUCCCAUGGAGUGCCUUUGGCUCUGUUAUACGGAGCUACAGGUCACCCUACAGCCACCCGAAACACAUCUCUGCCUAAAAGCAUUGCACCAUAAAAAUCCCAUAGAGUGCCUUUGGCUCUGUUAUACGGAGCUACAGGUCACCCUACAGCCACCCUAUACACAUCUCUGCCAUGUGCAUGAAACCUUAUAGAAGAAGAAAAUAAAUUGCAGUCUGUAGUUUGCUUAAAGUACAAUGUGACACAACUGAUAUCAAUAGAUUCACACUUCGUUCCCAAAAAUAAAAACUAAAUUAACAUUUGCUGGCAAAUAUAUAUACCAACGAAUAAUGAGACCAAUAUAGCUAAGGGGCUGUUCACAUCUCGGAUGGAAAUGUAAGACAUUACGUUUCCAUCAAUUAAAUGUAACCCUUUUUUCUUAGAGGAUGUCUUCAAAUCUUCAUUUGAAACAAUAUGUAUGUAUAUCUGUAAACGUAUAAACUAAACAAAAAUAAAUAAAUAACCGUGAAAUUGUA